Molecule: ribosomal RNA, 710 nt
Filed under: marine sediment metagenome
Description: SSU rRNA
Rfam family: Bacterial small subunit ribosomal RNA
Source: RNAcentral
GCGACACCGCGUGGAGGAUGAAGGUUUUCGAAUCGUAAACUCCUGUCAAUAGAGGAAGAAGGUAUUAUAGGUGAAUAGCUUAUAAUAUUGACGGUACUUUGUAAGGAAGCCCCGGCUAAUUACGUGCCAGCAGCCGCGGUAAUACGUAGGGGGCAAGCGUUUUCCGGAUUUAUUGGGCGUAAAGCGCACGCAGGUGGCUUUUUAAGUCGGAUGUGAAAUCUCUUAGCAAAACUAAGAAAUUGCAUCCGAAACUGGAUUGCUUGAGGUCGGGAGAGGAGAGUGGAAUUCUCGGUGUAGCGGUGAAAUGCGCAGAUAUCGAGAAGAACACCAUUAGCGAAGGCGGCUCUCUGGAACGAUACUGACACUAAGGUGCGAAAGCUAGGGUAGCAAACAGGAUUAGAUACCCUGGUAGUCCUAGCUGUAAACGAUGGGCACUAGAUGUAGGGAGAUAUCGACUCUUCCUGUGUCGUAGCUAACGCGUUAAGUGCCCCGCCUGGGGAGUACGACCGCAAGGUUAAAACUCAAAGGAAUUGACGGGGACCCGCACAAGCGGUGGAGCAUGUGGCUCAAUUCGAUGCAACACGAAGAACCUUACCAGGGCUUGACAUUCUGGUGGUAGUGAUCUGAAAGGUGAACGACCCUUCGGGGAGCCAGAACAGGUGGUGCAUGGCUGUCGUCAGCUCGUGUCGUAAGAUGUUGGGUUAAGUCCC